This 123-nucleotide ribosomal RNA is filed under the name Chinchilla lanigera (long-tailed chinchilla). The record is from RNAcentral. Lineage: Eukaryota; Metazoa; Chordata; Mammalia; Rodentia; Chinchillidae.
GUCUGUGACUUACCACCUUAAACACACCCAAACUUGUCUCAUCUCAGAAGCUAAGCAGGGUCAGGCCCGGUUAGUACUUGGAUAGGGAGGAGUGACAACGGAAACAACUUAGCUUUGCAAUCU